CGGGGACUGGACUGAAGAGGAGGAGUAAUGUUGGAGGUCACCCCCCCCCCUUAUCCUGUAGCUUCCAUAGAGGAGGAAAGCAGUCUCGAAUUACAUCAGGGCUUUGAGGAAGGUAACAGAGAAAGGUGAUCAGCAGAGUUGUGAUGUGUUAGGAGAAGGAGGAUGGGAGGCAAAGCAGCUAGCUGACACAUCACUGGACAGCAUAACUCCCAAAACGUGAUGUUUGUUAAGGGUGCAAGAACAAUGGGCACAGAGACAGACGCUUGUAGAGGCAGGUGCUGUAGCUAGAAGGGAAGGGGGAGGAGCUCAGUGCGAGCAACGCCAUCAUUGAGGAAUGACUGGAUUUCCUGUCUUUCACUGUGAUGGCUGAAUAAAAUCACAAGUAAGAACUUUCUUGUUUCCUCCCUGCUUCUUGGUGCCAUUGGGGACGGGAGAGGAUUCCUCAAGCCUGACAUAACUCUCAACUGUAUUGCAAAUCAAGCUUCCAUUUCACCAAAAAAAAAGUUUCUCCCUGGCUCAAAACAUAAAAUGAGAUUUUGAGAGAUUCUGGGCAUGCAUAGAAAACAUUCAGCAGACCAGGUGCCCAAAGUCUGCUGCUGCUUAAGUGCCUGCAAGCAAGACCUUGAAUAUUAAACCCUUGGCUUUGAUAGAAAGCUUGCUUUGAUUGCUAUGAAACUGUGGGAACUACAAAGCCACCAGCUUAAUAGACAUGAAAAGUUCCUCAAUGUUCACUUGUACUGUUUGCUGUGAAUUACCUGGCUACAUCUUUUGUUUAAGCAGCCCUUUGUUUAAUGGGUAUCUUCUCUGUUUGAACCAAUUCUCAAGAUGGUUUCUUGCAUGGUUUUAGUUGGAUUUUUCCUCACAUCCACAGACCUUAACCACAUGUGGUUGUUCUACCUUGGGCAGGUAGGAUAGUUUUAGAAUAGCUCAUCUUUUGGAGACUGUAAAAAGAAGUCACACUCGCUUCAGAAAGAAGAAAGCGUUGGAGAGAUGCCCAGCCGUUGUCUGUGAGGAUCAAGGUAACAAUCAAUAAGCUUUGCAUUUGUGUGUUUCUCCAUGCACAUCUGGCCCUUAAUUGUUUGUCAGGCAUUUUGGAUUUAAUUUGCUAUAAAAGUGCAGAUCAUUAUUAUAAAUCUCCUUUAUUUUAUCUUCCUCCAAAGUCUUUUGAAAAGGAUCAAAGUAACCCUCAACACAAUAAAAAAGAGAGGAGUGGGGAAACAACUCUCGCACAUUAAAUCAUUGUAAGAGCUCCAAAGUACAUACGAUUCUUUUGAAUUUGACCGUCUAAACUCCUUGCAGAGAACUGAAAUUGUUUAUCCAAUGUAGAUAUUUGGAACAUUUUUAUGUGAGGUCAAGAGAAGGACAGCUAGCAGCACAUAUUGUAUUGAACAGUUCUGGUGGUGUAUUUGUCUGGUGGUUUUCUGAAAAAGAAAAUGCUGAAAAGGAAGUCCAGCGAGUACCAGGAUUGUUGAUGUCUGUCUUCUUUGUUCCUUACAAAUUGAGAAACCUAGAGGUGCACAAUCAAAUGAGGAGUAGAUCUGACCUAUAGGUGUACCUCAUUUAUUUAUUUUAAAGCAAAACAAUAAAUGAUUUAAAUGCAUGAAAUUAUGAGACAAUUUUGGAUAGCUUUGGACAAUUUUACUAUUUAAAAAACUACAGCCCUGAAACAAUACAAAUACAUUUCUGUUUCACUUUUCUCGCUGGCUCAUCAGCUAUACAUUUACAACCUCACUACUAUGUGCUAAUUGCAAGCACUGUCAAUCACAAACAUUGGAAGCUCGGCAUAUCUCUUAUCAUUAGCUCUGCAAUGCAAGAAUAGACGACAAGUUAGGGAAAUAUGGAUUUGACUAAUAGCCUCUAGGAGAAACAAGGGAGAAAUACAAGGUCAACAGCAAAGGGAAGUACAACUUCUUUCAAAAGACCUGUCCAGCUUGCAGUGCAACUUUCCAACCUGACCAAACCCCUAACUUGCAACCCAAACUUGCAACUCUCCUCAGACUUCCAGAAACCUCUCAGGAAUAUCUCUGAAAGAACAAAGAGGGGAAUCUACAGAUUACCUCCUGUGUUCAUGGCUGGCAGAGUCCUUUGAGCUCAGAAUCUUUCUUAAGUCAUUUGAGUACUUCGGGCUGUGGAGGUCAACAGAGAAUCUCAUGGAAUGCUUCCCCUCCUUUAUAUUUCUAAUUCCUGUUGUUGGUCCUGCCAAAUGGUAACUCUUGUGCCCUGCACUAUGGAUCCUCCAAAAAAGAAUUUCAUUUCUAACCUUCUUCAUUUGUCCCUUCUUCUGUACUCCCUGUUCUAUGUGUGAAAACGUGUGUGAAAAUACAUAAAGAAGGAUUCUCUCAGGCUUGGACAUAGCCCUUCAAGGUAUUCCUACUAGACCAAUAUUGAGAUUGCUAGUUAGCCCUCAUAACAACAGAUGGAGUAGGACCUUCCUGACAGGGGCUAGAAAAAAAGACAAAGAUAAAGAUAAAAGACCCCUGACAGUUAAGUCCAGUCGCGGACGACUCUGAGAUUGUGGUACUCAUCUCGCUUUACUAGCCAAGGUAACCACCGUUUGUCCGCAGACAGUUUUCCCGGGUCAUGUGGCCAGCAUGACUAAGCCGCUUCUGGCAAAACCAGAGCAGCACACGGGAACGCCGUUUACCUUCCCACCGGAGCGGUACCUAUUUAUCUACUUGCACUUUGACAUGCUUUCGAACGGCUAGGUUGGCAGGAGCAGGGACCGAGCAAUGGGAGCUCACCCCGUUGUGGGGCUUCGAACCACCGCCCUUCAGAUCGGCAAGCGCAAGAAGCUCAGUGGCUUAGACCACAGCGCCAACCACAUCCCUAGAAAACAGGCAGUCCUCCUAUAAUUCAAAUAUCAGUCAUAUGUGGGGGGGUUUCUGUCCAGAGACACAUGGAAGGAAAAGCUACAUGUUUGGUUUAGGAUUGGCCAACUGCUGUAGAGAUCUGGUUGACACAAAUGCAUGAGACAGGGAAGAUUGGGUGGCUUUGAGAUUGGUCAGAGUGCUAAAAAAUUGCAUAGCAUUCUGGUUCAAGUAGCUGUAGUGGUCAAACCUCCACUGUUUCUAUCUGUUGGAAGUCAAUCAUUUUCGGCUAUGAACCAGUAAGUUAUCUAAGAAACAAAUGGUCUUCCAGCAGUGUGAAACCAGAUUCCUGAAAGGCAGAAGUUUACUCAACACUUCCUGGGAAGUUUGGACAAAACCCGACGUCAACAAAAAUCAGUAACAGAUUUCCUUGUGAGCCUGUAUCUGUUUUCUAACAGGGUAAGAUGAUGAAGCUGGAUAUCCACAGGUUCAAAGAAAAGAAAAGAAAAUAUCUUCAACCUUACUUCCCAAUCUGCCUUCACACCAGCAAGAUUAAUUGAUUUUAAAAGUUUUCUGGAAUAAUCUAUUAAAAGGUAGGGCAAUCCUCUGC
Molecule: non-coding RNA, 3417 nt
Organism: Podarcis lilfordi (Lilford's wall lizard)
Lineage: Eukaryota; Metazoa; Chordata; Lepidosauria; Squamata; Lacertidae
Source: the annotation of a GenBank genome assembly